Molecule: ribosomal RNA, 392 nt
Filed under: Aplanochytrium sp.
Lineage: Eukaryota; Bigyra; Thraustochytrida; Thraustochytriidae
Description: partial small subunit ribosomal RNA
Rfam family: Eukaryotic small subunit ribosomal RNA
Source: RNAcentral
AUUCCAGCUCCAAUAGCGUAUAUUAAAGUUGUUGCAGUUAAAAAGCUCGUAGUUGGAUUUCUGGUAGGAGCGACCGUGCCGAACUUGAUUGUUCGUGUAUUGUGUUGUCUUCAGCCAUCCUCGUGGAGAACUUUUCUAACAUUAACUUGUUGGGAUUGGGACCCGCGUCGUUUACUGUGAAAAAAUUAGAGUGUUUAAAGCAGGCAUUAGCUUGAAUACAUUAGCAUGGAAUAAUAAGAUAGGACUUUGGUACUAUUUUGUUGGUUUGCAUACCAAAUUAAUGAUCAACAGGAACAGUUUGAGGAUAUUCGUAUGAACAUGUCAGAGGUGAAAUUCUUGGAUUUUGAUCAGACGAACCACUGCGAAAGCAUUUAUCAAGGAUGUUUUCAUCG